AGGACGAACGCUGGCGGCGUGCCUAAUACAUGCAAGUCGAGCGGGUUUAUCUUCGGAUAAAGCUAGCGGCGGACGGGUGAGUAACACGUAGGCAACCUGCCUGUAAGAUCGGGAUAACUACCGGAAACGGUAGCUAAGACCGGAUAGAUGGUUUCCUCGCAUGAGGGAGCUAAGAAACACGGGGCAACCUGUGGCUUACAGAUGGGCCUGCGGCGCAUUAGCUAGUUGGCGGGGUAACGGCCCACCAAGGCGACGAUGCGUAGCCGACCUGAGAGGGUGAUCGGCCACACUGGGACUGAGACACGGCCCAGACUCCUACGGGAGGCAGCAGUAGGGAAUCUUCCGCAAUGGACGCAAGUCUGACGGAGCAACGCCGCGUGAGUGAUGAAAGGUUUUCGGAUCGUAAAGCUCUGUUGCCAAGGAAGAAUGUCGUGGAGAGUAACUGCUCUGCGAAUGACGGUACUUGAGAAGAAAGCCCCGGCUAACUACGUGCCAGCCGCCGC
This 503-nucleotide ribosomal RNA is filed under the name uncultured bacterium. RNAcentral's name for it is "bacterial SSU rRNA". It matches the Rfam family "Bacterial small subunit ribosomal RNA", at positions 26 to 518 of the family's 1533-position model. The record is from RNAcentral.